CGGGGUGUAGCUCAGCCUGGUAGAGCACUAGCUUCGGGAGCUAGGGGCCGGAGGUUCGAAUCCUCUCACCCCGACCA
RNAcentral lists this transfer RNA (77 nucleotides) under Acidiferrobacter thiooxydans. RNAcentral's name for it is "tRNA-Pro". It matches the Rfam family "tRNA". Rfam says of the family: Transfer RNA (tRNA) molecules are approximately 80 nucleotides in length. Their secondary structure includes four short double-helical elements and three loops (D, anti-codon, and T loops). The record is from RNAcentral. RNAcentral also lists the same sequence under 9 other names. Lineage: Bacteria; Pseudomonadati; Pseudomonadota; Gammaproteobacteria; Acidiferrobacterales; Acidiferrobacteraceae.